This 520-nucleotide ribosomal RNA is filed under the name uncultured Glomus. RNAcentral describes it as "SSU rRNA". It matches the Rfam family "Eukaryotic small subunit ribosomal RNA", at positions 569 to 1092 of the family's 1831-position model. The record is from RNAcentral. Lineage: Eukaryota; Fungi; Glomeromycota; Glomeromycetes; Glomerales; Glomeraceae.
AGCAGCCGCGGUAAUUCCAGCUCCAAUAGCGUAUAUUAAAGUUGUUGCAGUUAAAAAGCUCGUAGUUGAAUUUCGGGAUCAAGGAAUCGGUCAUGCCUUGGUAUGUACUGGUUUUAUUGGUUCUCACCUUCUAAAGAACCAUAAUGUCAUUCAUUUGAUGUUAUGGGGAAUUAGGACUGUUACCUUGAAAAAAUUAGAGUGUUUAAAGCAGGCUUACGCUUGAAUACAUUAGCAUGGAAUAAUGAAAUAGGACGUUUGAUUCUAUUUUGUUGGUUUCUAGGAUCGACGUAAUGAUUAAUAGGGAUAGUUGGGGGCAUUAGUAUUCAAUUGUCAGAGGUGAAAUUCUUGGAUUUAUUGAAGACUGACUACUGCGAAAGCAUUUGCCAAGGAUGUUUUCAUUAAUCAAGAACGAAAGUUAGGGGAUCGAAGACGAUCAGAUACCGUCGUAGUCUUAACCAUAAACUAUGCCGACUAGGGAUCGGAUGAUGUUAAUUUUUAAUGACUCAUUCGGCGCCUUAAC